ACAGUAGUCCCAAAGUUUGGGGGGAAGGGGGACAAAACAAGUUGUCUCCUCAGUCCCUCCUCCCGGGCUGCUUUUCUUACUGCAAGUGUGUUCUUGUAAAAAUGAUUAGAUUGCAAUUUGUAUAACGUGGUGACCCCCAAAUUCAGACAUUUCACCCCUUUUCUCUGGAAAGAAUGUUAAGAAUGCUUCUCGGCCUCUCACUGUGUGGGGCGGGAGGCGGGUGCAGAGCCUUCGCUGUCGCACAACUUGUGUGGGAACAGCGCUGCCGCUCAGAGCCCCAGGCCAAGACAGGAGCAAGGGCCGGGUCUGUCACUAUAGAGGGCCAGACAAAAAGUCCAUUCCCUUCCAACUCCUGUGCACAAAGCCCAGGCCUCCAGGAGCCGCUGAGGCUGGGGGGCCGAGCCUGACUCCAGCAAUUCUCUCUCAACCCAGGGAAAGAUAAAGACAGAUGGGGCCGCCCCUGUGAGCCUGAUGAAUGCAACUCAGGCUGAGAGAGCAGCCUAAAGGAGACCUGUUCCUGCAGCCUGGCUGUGUGUAGCCUCCCUUUGGGAGCCCCCAGAGUACCUGGGCAGAAAAAGCCAGCAGAGUGCGGCCUCAUCCCAGGGACCCUUGAGGAGGGGAUCAGGUUCUAUGAAGACUCAGUGUUUGGGGUUUCAUAAGAGAAUGCCAUUCGAGGAGUUGGUCCCUUAGAACUCCAUCCUGACCAUAAAUCUGUGCCCACCAGGGCAACCACAGGUAGAAGAGGCCACUCAAAGGUUACCCAACCUUCGAGACAAAGCUGGGCCACAGUGGUGCACCCGGCCCUACCCCGCAGGCUUGUCUGCCAUCCUCAACCCAGGCCAGUGAUGAUGCCAAGCACAAGGUCCAGCUACAUGACUAAAUAAAGCUGACUUUCAGCAGAA
Equus caballus (horse) is the source of this 902-nucleotide non-coding RNA. The record is from RefSeq and is a predicted model, not a curated record. Lineage: Eukaryota; Metazoa; Chordata; Mammalia; Perissodactyla; Equidae.